AAAUUGCAAGCAUUCUCUUUGGGGCUUACAUGUCUACUUCCCUUAGCUGGGAUCAGCGACUUCUCUUGGGCCUUUCCUCCAGCAGGCUGGGUCCCCUCUCUGUACAGAAGUUAAAAGGAUGUUGUCAAGCACAGAAAGGCUGUAGCUCAGGAAUUUGGACAGAGCAAAACAGAAAUGGCUCGUCUCUGCUCCAUGAAGGCUGGUCCUCAACUGGGAAGACUCAAUGAACAAGUGGGAACUUCACAAUUGAGGGCUGGCAUCACCUGGACAGUUCGAGUUCUGUCAGAAAACGUCUCGUUCCUGUUCCUGGAUGAACUAAAGACUCUGCCUGGAAAAGAACUAAGCUGCAAUAUACACACACCUGACUGCACAGCUGCUGAAGAGGAGAACUUCUGUUUAAUCUGUUUUAAAUAAUAGACAGGUGGAGUCUUACUCUGUAAUCCAGGCUGGAGUGCAAUGAUGUGAUCUCAGCUCACUGCAACCUCUACCUCCCAGGUUCAAGCAAUUCUCCUGCCUCAGUCUCCCAAGUAGAUGGAAUUACAGGUGUGUGCCACCACAACCGGCUAAUUUUUUUUAUUUUUAGUAGAGGUGGGGUUUCACUAUGUUGGCCAGGCUGGUUUCGAACUCCUGACCUCAUGUGAUCCACCCGCCUCAGCCUCCCAAAGUGCUGGGAUUACAGGCGUGAGCCACUGCGCCCGGCCUAGUAAGCCCUUUUAAAGAACAGAACUGAAGUCUAUAUAUGUGUGUAUAUAUUUUAAAAUUACAUUAUUAGUUCAUAUUUACAUUUCCAAUCGAAAUUUUAGGAUUAUAAAGUUUUAAUGUAUUUAUUUGAUUCUAUCUUUUUUUUUCUCAAGUGAAAAAUCCUGGUUCCUAACAGCAUGCACAUAAUUAUUUACUUGAUUUCUCUUAUAUAUUAUAUAACAGCUUGGCCAGGCAUGAUGGCUCAUUCCUGUAAUCACAGCACUUUAGGAGGCCAAGGCAGGAGGAUCACUUGAGCCCAGGAGUUCGAGACCAGCCUGGGCAACAUAGCAAAACCCUGUCUCUAUUUUAACAAAGUAAUAGUUUCAGAAUAGCAAUGUCAAUAGUAUUAGUAGAAAUUUGAAUGCUAAAAAAACAGUUUAAGACUUUCUGCUUGUUUGAUUUUAUGGUACAUACUACCAGGGAUGUAACCUCAGAUUACUGUAUUUUAAAGUUAAUUAAAAUACUUCCUCCGUCUGAGCUUAUGCCACCAACUCGUGGAACAGUUAGGUUUAUUCGUUUCAUUUUGCCUUGCUUUAUAAAGAUAGCUUUUAAAAGCAAUUGUGUUAUAAUUGUUUAUAGUAGUACUGUAUCGUGUAACAACUACAUUCUAUAGGGUCACCCUUGUAUCCAUCAUGUAAUGAUUGUUAUACAGGUAAAUAUAUAUAUUCAACGCCCACCUGAUCCUUAUGCCAAUUCCUCUUCGGUCAUUUGUUUGUCUUUUUCUAGUAGGUUCCUUAGGAAGGGCACAGAGAACAAUACUCCAUGAGUUCUGGCAUAUUCUUAACAGUUUGUGCAUGACUUUAAACUUGACUGGGUAUAAAAUUCUUGCCUACAUUUUCUUUUCUUUUUUUUUUUUUUUUUUUGGAAGGGAGCUUUGCUCUUGUUGCCCUGGCUGGAGUGCAGUGGUGUGAUCUCAGCUCUCUGCAACCUCCGCCUCCUGGGUUCAAGCGAUUCUCCUGCCUCGGCCUUCCGAGUAGUGGGAUUACAGGUGCGCGCCACCAUGCCUGGCUAAUUUUUUGUAUUUUUAGUUGGGACCGGGUUUCACCAUGUUGGCCAGGCUGGUCUCAAACUCCUGACCUCAGGUGAUCUGCCCGCCUUGGACCCCCAAAGUGCUAGGAUUACAGACGCGAGCCACCGCGCCCGGCCUUGACUACAUUUUCUUAACUGUUUGUAAUAUACUUUAUUCCAUUGCCCUAUGGUAUAAAAUGUUGCUGUUGAGAAAUCUGUCCGUCUUAGUCUCUUUCCCUAAUGAGUGGCUUGGUUGUUUCACUUUGAUGUCUAAAGAUUUCAUUUGGUUUUUCCCUUUUCUUUCAGUUCAAUAAAUUUACUUUAAAAAAAAGUCUCAUUUUGGCCACUAUCAAUGGAUUUUCCGAGGUACCUCAUGUGCCCGUUAAAGAUGUGGAUUCAGAUCUACUUGAUAUCAGUAACAUUUUUCUGAACUAUAGCUCCAGUUUGCAUUCAUUCCCCUUGCUUUGAGUUUCUUCUUUUGAGACUCUUAUUACAUGUAUGCUAAUAUAUAAGUAAUAAUCUAUUACUCCCUCUCCAAACCAUUUUCAAAAAUUUUAAAAAAUAUGUUUUUUAUUUUUGUAGAGACAGAAUCUUGCUAUGUUGCCCAGGCUGGUGUUGAACUGCUGGCCUCAACCAAUCCUCCUGCCUCGGCCUCUCAAAGUGCUGGGAUUACAGGUGUGAGGCACCACACCUGGCUUCUCCAGCCCUUAUCUUUUUUUAAAAUUUUGUUUUAAUUUCUUAUUUUCCUCUCAUUCUAUUUUCUCUUUUUUUCUUAUGAUGUUUAUUUGUCCUUAAGCUCAUCCUACUUUGGUCUUCAUUUCUGAAAUUAUUUUUUCUUUUACUCCUAGUUCUUUUUAAAAUUCUCUUAGCUCACAUUUCAAACUUUUCUUUUGUCCAAUCAUCUCAUUUUCUUUUUUUUUCCUCUUUUAAAAUAUUUUGAGACAGGGUCUCACUGUGUCACUCAGGCUGGAGUGCAGUGGUGCAAUCAUAGCUCAUUACAGCCUUGACCUCCUGGACUCCAGCGAUCCUCCCACUUCAGCCUCCUAAGUAGCCAGGAUUACGGUAGCACACCAUCAUGCCUGGCUAAUUUUAUUUUUUGUUUUUUGUAGAGACAGGGUCUUGCUAUGUUACCUAGGCUGGUUUUGGACUUUUAGUCUCAAGCAGUCCUGCUGUCUCAGCCUCCCUAAAUGCUAAGAUUACAGGCUCAUUUUCUAAUUCUGAUUUAUGGCAUUCUUCCAUAGCUACAAUCAUU
This 3001-nucleotide long non-coding RNA is filed under the name Homo sapiens (human). Its description in RNAcentral is "non-protein coding lnc-ST8SIA6-2:4". The record is from RNAcentral. Lineage: Eukaryota; Metazoa; Chordata; Mammalia; Primates; Hominidae.